GACGGAGGGUGCAAGCGUUAUCCGGAUUUACUGGGUUUAAAGGGUGCGUAGGUGGCUUUAUAAGUCGGUGGUGAAAGCUAACAGCUCAACUGUUAAAGUGCCAUCGAUACUGUAAGGCUUGAGUAGAGUCGAGGUGGGCGGAAUUUUACAUGUAGCGGUGAAAUGCGUAGAUAUGUAAAGGAACGCCGAUAACGAAGGUAGCUCACUAGGCUACUACUGACACUGAGGCACGAAAGCGUGGGGAGCGAACAGG
This 253-nucleotide unclassified non-coding RNA is filed under the name uncultured Cytophagales bacterium. RNAcentral's name for it is "contains 16S-23S intergenic spacer region". It matches the Rfam family "Bacterial small subunit ribosomal RNA", at positions 524 to 776 of the family's 1533-position model. Lineage: Bacteria; Pseudomonadati; Bacteroidota; Sphingobacteriia; Sphingobacteriales. The record is from RNAcentral.